This 73-nucleotide transfer RNA is filed under the name Bacteroidota bacterium. RNAcentral's name for it is "tRNA-Thr". It matches the Rfam family "tRNA". From Rfam's summary of the family: Transfer RNA (tRNA) molecules are approximately 80 nucleotides in length. Lineage: Bacteria; Pseudomonadati; Bacteroidota. The record is from RNAcentral.
GCUGGCGUAGCUCAGUUGGUAGAGCAGCUGAUUUGUAAUCAGCAGGUCAUCGGUUCAAAUCCGAUUGCCAGCU